CACAUUAAGCAUAUAUGCCAUAUAACCAUAGUAAGGAGUAUUGUAGGAUGACACAUGUACAAUAAGUUCACAAUUUAAAACCACAUAAAAUGCAAAAUAGGAGGAAAAUAAGGAAAUAUAUUAAUGUAGAUAGGAUUUUUUUUUUAAUUUCAAAAAAAAAUUAAAAAAAAACUUUCUAGCCGCCUAGCACCCCCUAGCCUGCCUAGAGCCCAGCCGAUUUUUCCAACCGAUUUGCAAGAAAACGCAUCGGAUCACCACCGCCUAGGCCAUUUUUUAGAACAUUGGAUUAUUUAGAGUCUAAAAAUUAUAUAUGUGAAGGAUUUUUUAGGACACUCUAAAUGUUUAGUACGAGUUUCUUUUGUGUAUAUUAAGUAUUUGAAGUAAUGCCUACUAGAUAAUAUCUCGAUAGAUUGUAUUGAUGACCCUCGAUAUCGCUCAUUAGAUUACUUAGGCAUAUAUCGUAUUUGUUGACAUGUGCGUAACAUAGUUUUGUCGAUUUCUGUUUGAAUGUAAAUUUUUUUUAUUUUACAAUAGAAUCCUCGAGGUUCGGAUUCUUGAUCCGCUAAUGCUUAUAUGAAAAUUCAUUAGCUGUAUAGAAUCUGGAAAGUGUAUUCCUUGCAAUGUAAAAGAAGAGAAAAGAAAAGUGAGAAGGCAUUUUUUGCAAACUAGAGAUUAAUAUUAGUUGAGAAGAAAUAAAUAAGGUUUAUUGAAUAAAGAAUGAUGGAAAAGGCAUGAAAGAGAUCAUCUCCGGAUUCAUUCCCCAUAAUUCAUCAAGUUCGAGGAUCCGGACCGUUGAAAUUU
Molecule: long non-coding RNA, 801 nt
Filed under: Malus domestica (apple)
Lineage: Eukaryota; Viridiplantae; Streptophyta; Magnoliopsida; Rosales; Rosaceae
Description: long non-coding RNA (MDOM_LNC006466)
Source: RNAcentral